RNAcentral lists this unclassified non-coding RNA (332 nucleotides) under Hevea brasiliensis (rubber tree). The record is from RNAcentral. Lineage: Eukaryota; Viridiplantae; Streptophyta; Magnoliopsida; Malpighiales; Euphorbiaceae.
AUAAAUCAAUGUACUUGAGGUUUUCUUUUGCAAAUGCAACUAAAUCCUUCACAUCUUGUCCUUCUCUUACAUCACAUUUUGUACCCCACACAUGUUGCUCUCCAAAUUCUUCUCUCAAGCUCUGAAUAGUAGACUCCACCCUCUCAACUGAUCUUGAGCAAACCAAGACAUUGUCACCUGCCUUUAGAAACUCUUUAGCUAGUGCAUACCCUAUUCCCUUUGUUGAGCCAGUGAUUAGGACAUUGUAAGGUGGCACCAUGGCCUCUCUAUUCAAAGAAGACAGGUUCCCCGCCAUAGGAGGAAUGAUAUUUGCAGCCAUGGCAGAGUUAGUG